RNAcentral lists this ribosomal RNA (500 nucleotides) under uncultured bacterium. Its description in RNAcentral is "partial 16S ribosomal RNA". It matches the Rfam family "Bacterial small subunit ribosomal RNA", at positions 30 to 523 of the family's 1533-position model. The record is from RNAcentral.
AUUGAACGCUGGCGGCAUGCCUUACACAUGCAAGUCGAACGGCAGCACGGGAGCAAUCCUGGUGGCGAGUGGCGAACGGGUGAGUAAAGUAUCGGAACGUGCCCAGUCGUGGGGGAUAACGUAGCGAACGUUACGCUAAUACCGCAUACGAUCUAUGGAUGAAAGCGGGGGAUCGCAAGACCUCGCGCGAUUGGAGCGGCCGAUAUCAGAUUAGGUAGUUGGUGGGGUAAAGGCUCACCAAGACGACGAUCUGUAGCUGGUCUGAGAGGACGACAAGCAACACUGGGAGUGAGACACGGCCCAGACUCCUACGGGUGGCAGAAGUGGGGAAAUUUGGACAAUGGGCGAAAGCCUUAUCCAGCCAUGCCGCGUGAAGGAUGAAUGCCUUCGGGUUGUAAACUGCUUUUGUACGGAACGAAAAGGUUUGGCCUAAUAAGCUGAGCUCAUGACGGUACCGUAAGAAUAAGCACCGGCUAACUACGUGCCAGCAGCCGCGGUAA